Molecule: ribosomal RNA, 460 nt
Filed under: uncultured bacterium
Lineage: Bacteria
Description: partial 16S ribosomal RNA
Rfam family: Bacterial small subunit ribosomal RNA
Source: RNAcentral
CCUACGGGGGGCAGCAGUGAGGAAUAUUGGUCAAUGGGCGUAAGCCUGAACCAGCAACGUCGCGUGAGGGAUGAAGGUUCUCUGGUUCGUAAACCUCUUUUAUAAGGGUAUAAAGUGCGGGACGUGUCCCGUUUUGUAUGUACCUUAUGAAUAAGGAUCGGCUCACUCAGUGCCAGCAGCCGCGGUAAUACGGAGGAUCCGAGCGUUAUCCGGAUUUAUUGGGUUUAAAGGGUGCGUAGGCGGCCUUUUAAGUCAGCGGUGAAAGUCUGUGGCUCAACCAUAGAAUUGCCGUUGAAACUGGGAGGCUGGAGUAUGUGUGAGGCAGGCGGAAUGCGUGGUGUAGCGGUGGAAUGCUUAGAUAUCACGCAGAACCCCGAUUGCGAAGGCAGCCUGCCAAGCCAUGACUGACGCUGAUGCACGAAAGCGUGGGGAUCAAACAGGAUUAGAUACCCUAGUAGUC